This 586-nucleotide ribosomal RNA is filed under the name Alicella gigantea. Its description in RNAcentral is "bacterial SSU rRNA". It matches the Rfam family "Eukaryotic small subunit ribosomal RNA", at positions 153 to 661 of the family's 1831-position model. The record is from RNAcentral. Lineage: Eukaryota; Metazoa; Arthropoda; Malacostraca; Amphipoda; Alicellidae.
UAAUUCCAUAAUUAAUACAUGCAACUCUUAUCCUGAAGGAGCACGGCAUUUACUUGUCGCUGUUCUCUGACGUAUGCUUUUAUUAGACCAAACCGCUGGGUGCGUGGUGUUUCACUUUAGGGUGUUCCCACGUUUGACUCGUGUGAUGGUGACUCUGAAUAACCUUUCUUGACAAGCGCAAGUACCCCUCUUAUGAGCUGGGACGGCGCUACCACUUUCGAGUGUCUGACUUAUCAGCUAUCAACCGUUCGUUAUGUGCGACCGAUGGCGUUGACGGGUAACGGGGAAUCAGAGUUCGAUUCCGGAGAGGCAGCCUGAGAGACGGCUACCACGUCCAAGGACGGCAGCAGGCACGCAAAUUACCCAAUCCCAGCAUCUGAGGGAGGUAGUGACGAAAUCUAACGAUGCGGGCGCCCUUUCUGGGGCCCCGCAAUCGGAAUGGCCAUUUUCUAAACAACCUGUUGAGAACCUACUGAAGGGCAAGUCUGGUGCCAGCAGCCGCGAUAAUUCCAGCUUCAGCAGCAUCUAUUAAAGUUGCUGCGGUUAAAAGGCUCGCAGUUGAAUGUCAGUACCGAGCGCAGGUCAG